GGUCCAAUUUCGAAGUAGAGUAGAUUAGAAGGAUAAUCUGACCCUACUGAACCACUCUACUUCGAGUUUGUACCC
Haemonchus contortus (barber pole worm) is the source of this 75-nucleotide non-coding RNA. NCBI's taxonomy places the organism in Eukaryota, Metazoa, Nematoda, Chromadorea, Rhabditida, Trichostrongylidae. The record is from Rfam.